AGGUAGUUAGUCCAAUGAAGACCUUUGAUUUCGGCUCAAAAAAUUAUGGUUAAACUCCAUAGCCGCCUU
This 69-nucleotide transfer RNA is filed under the name Astronesthes nigroides. Its description in RNAcentral is "tRNA-Arg". It matches the Rfam family "tRNA". Rfam says of the family: Transfer RNA (tRNA) molecules are approximately 80 nucleotides in length. Their secondary structure includes four short double-helical elements and three loops (D, anti-codon, and T loops). The record is from RNAcentral. Lineage: Eukaryota; Metazoa; Chordata; Actinopteri; Stomiiformes; Stomiidae.